RNAcentral lists this ribosomal RNA (493 nucleotides) under uncultured bacterium. Its description in RNAcentral is "bacterial SSU rRNA". It matches the Rfam family "Bacterial small subunit ribosomal RNA", at positions 38 to 507 of the family's 1533-position model. The record is from RNAcentral.
GGCGGCGUGCCUAGCACAUGCAAGUCGUACGAGAAAGUUGGCUUCGGCCGAUGAGUACAGUGGCGCACGGGUGAGUAACGCGUGGAUAAUCUGCCCUUAAGUGUGGAAUAACGUACCGAAAGGUGCGCUAAUACCGCAUAAUGCCUGGCAACAUAAGUUGUCCGGCCAAAGAAGGCCUCUGCUUGCAAGCUUUCGCUAAAGGAUGAGUCCGCGUACCAUUAGCUAGUUGGUGGGGUAACGGCCUACUAAGGCGACGAUGGUUAGCUGGUCUGAGAGGAUGAUCAGCCACACUGGAACUGAGACACGGUCCAGACUCCUACGGGAGGCGGCAGUGAGGAAUAUUGCGCAAUGGGGGCAACCCUGACGCAGCAACGCCGCGUGAGUGAGGAAGGUUUUCGGACCGUAAAGCUCUGUCGAGCGGGAAGAAAUGUAUCAUGGCUAAUAUCCAUGAUACUUGACGGUACCGCUAAAGGAAGCACCGGCUAACUCCGUG